This 2635-nucleotide ribosomal RNA is filed under the name Drosophila erecta. RNAcentral describes it as "eukaryotic LSU rRNA". It matches the Rfam family "Eukaryotic large subunit ribosomal RNA". Lineage: Eukaryota; Metazoa; Arthropoda; Insecta; Diptera; Drosophilidae. The record is from RNAcentral.
GAUAUUGUCCCUAUCAUAUUAAACAAAUAAAGAAUUUUAAGAAUCAAGUCAAGUUGCCAAACGCUUUGUCAUCAAUUUAGUGACGCAUAUGAUAUUGUCCCUAUAAUAUAAUAGAAAUAAAUAACUUAAAGGAAUCAAGUCAAGUUGCCAAGACGUAUAUGAUAUUGUCACUAUCAUGUUAUAAAACUAAUGAACUUAACGAAAAAAAGUCAAGUUGCCAAGACGCAUAUGAUAUUGUCCCUAUCAUAUUAAAGAAGUAAAGAACUAAAAGAAAUCAAGUCAAGUUGCCAAUGACGCAUAUGAUAUUGUCCCUAUAUUAUAGAAAUAAAGAACUUAAAGACAUCAAGUCAAGUUGCCAAGACGCAUGUGAUAUUGACCCUAACUAAUUAUAGAAAUAAAGAAAAAGAAAUCAAGUCAAGUUGCCAAGACGUAUAUGAUAUUGUCCCUAUCAUGUUAUAGAAAUAAAGAAUUUUAAGAAAUCAAGUCAAGUUGCCAAGAUGCACAUAAUAUAAUAUUUUAAAAGAAAUAAUAUUUUAUAGAAAUAAUUUGGAAAUUUUAGUGAGUAGGAAGGUACAAUGGUAUGCGUAGAAGUGUUUGGCGUAAGCCUGCAUGGAGCUGCCAGUAGUACAAUAAUUGAAUAAGACCUUGGAGGACUGAAGUGGAGAAGGGUUUCGUAUGAACAGUGGUUGAUCACGAGUUAGUCGGUCCUAAGUUCAAGGCGAAAGCCGAAAAUUUUCAAGUAAAACAAAAAUGCCAAUUAUAUAAACAAAUAAUAAUAAUUUUGAACGAAAGAGAAUAUGGUUCCAAUUCCGUAACCUGUUGAGUAUCCUCUUGUUAUUAAAUAUGGGCCUGGUGCUCAUCCUGGCAACAGGAACGACCAUAAAAAAGCCGUCGAGAGAUAUCGGAAGAGUUUUCUUUUCUGUUUUAUAGCCGUACUACCAUGGAAGUCUUUCGCAGAGAGAUAUGGUAGAUGGGCUAGAAGAGCAUGACAUAUACUGUUGCGUCGAUAUUUUCUCCUCGGACCUUGAAAAUUGAUGGUGGGGACACGCAAACUUCUCAACAGGCCGUACCAAUAUCCGCAGCUGGUCUCCAAGGUGAAGAGCCUCUAGUCGAUAGAAUAAUGUAGGUAAGAAUAAUGCCGGUAACUAGAGGUUGCCCGCAGGGGUCAAUCAGCGGCCCAUUUAUUUGGGACAUGCUGAUGGAUGUACUGCUUUAGCGCCUCGAGCCGUAUUGCCUGCUAAGUGCAUACGCGGAUGACCUGCUUCUCCUGAUCGAUGGAAAUUCCCGAGCCGUGCUAAAGGAAAAAGGAGAGCGGAACUCAUGUGCUAUUUGGUGCCUCGGUUUGGUAUGACACCGCCGUACAUGAAGAUGCCAGGAGGCGACUGUCCUUUUGCCAUAGACUGAUCCUGCUUGGAUGUCUAUCGGUAUGCCAAACAGUGUCCACCGAGGAACUGCAGGUUCUUGCUGGAGCCACCCCGCUUGACUUGGCCGCUACGAAAUUAGGAUCGGGAGAGAACCCAACGGCUGGCUGUGUUCGCUGAGGAGGCGUUCCGCAGAAGAAGGGGAACUUAGUGCUUGUCGGAGCCAAAGAGUGAGGCCGACCGAGCCCUAAUUUUCGGUACCACGGGUUGAGCAGUUCCAAGACUGCUCAUUAAGGUGGGCCCCCUUGUGGGAGUAUCGUGAUGGCUGUGGUUGGUACCCAUAUCGCGGGUAGAGCCUUCGAGCUCGACGUUUGAGUAACGGCGCGGGUUGCUCAACACUCCGGUGCUUUUGAGCUUGACUCUAAUCUGGCAGUGUAAGGAGACAUAAGAGGUGUAGAAUAAGUGGGAGAUAUUAGAUCUCGUUUUGGAAUCGACAAUGAAAUACCACUUCUCUUAUUGUUAACUCUUACUUGAUUAAAUGGAACUUGUAUCAUUUCCUAGCCAUUAUACGGAUAUAUUUAGUGUAUCUUAUAGUAUUGGGUUUUGAUGCAAGCUUCUUGAUCAAAGUAUCACGAGUUUGUUAUAUAAUGGCGAAGAAAUUAUUUAUUAAAACGAAGCAUUUAUGUAUUUUUGAUUUGAAAAUUUGGUAUAACUCCAAUAACUCAGGUAUGAUCCAAUUCAAGGACAUUGCCAGGUAGGGAGUUUGACUGGGGCGGUACAUCUCUCUAAUAAUAACGGAGGUGUCCCAAGGCCAGCUCUGUGCGGACAGAAACCAAACAUAGAGCAAUAGGGCAAAUGCUGAAUUGAUCUCGGUGGCAGGGACAGCAAAAGCUCGGCCUAUCGAUCCUUUUGCUUUAAAGAGUUUUUAACAAGAGGUGUAAGAAAAGAAAAGUUACCAUAGGGAUAACUGGCUUGUGGCGGCCAAGCGUUCAUAGCGAUGUCGCGAUGUCGGCUCUUCCUAUCAUUGUGAAGCAAAAUUCACCAAGCGUUGGAUUGUUCACCCAUGCAAGGGAACGUGAGCUGGUUUAGUUAGUUAGUUAGUUAGUAGACAGGUUAGUUUUACCCUACUAAUGACAAAACGUUGUUGCGACAACAUUCCUGCGUAGUACGAGAGGAACCGCAGGUACGGACCCAUGGCACAAGACUUGUUUCAACGCCUCUAAGGUCGUAUCCGUGCUGGACUGCGAUGAUAAAUAAGGGGCAAUUUGCAUUGU